CAAAAGUUCUCAAACUAAGAGUUUGUCCACUUCUCCCUUGAGGUGCAAAUGCAGCAGCCUUGCCCUCUUUGCUCUCAUGCAUUGGGCUGUUCCAGUCAAAGUGAAGGAUCCAGAAGCAGAAGGACAAUGGGUGGGUGUCCCUUUAGUACUACAAAGCACAGUACUCUGUCUCCUUUUGUCUCCCAGACAAUGCAGAGGCACAAAAGCAGUGGGUUGCCUGUGUUAAUGUCAUCUCAUCCAGACUAACUGAUGUGGUUAGAACCAUCAUCAUAGAAUCGUCAGGGUUGGAAAAGACCUUCAAUAUCAUCCAGUCCAAUUGUCCACCCACCAGUAUUUCCCCAUUUAACCAUGUUCCUUAGUACAACACCUAUACAGUUCUUCAGCAUCUCCAGAGACAAUGACUCCCACCAUCAUGGUGAUGUUGCCCUUGUUACCCACCCCACCCUCUGUGACACCAGACAGAGCUGCAAGAGCCGGGGUUGACACUGCCCACAGCAUACACAGCUCCAUCCCACUGGGUUUCAGUGCUGGAAGUCAAACUGUUUUCCAGCUUCCAUCUGACCCGGAGUUCUUAAGAAGAUUAUCUCUGAAACCUCAGUGGGUUCAGGAAGAAGAACCCAUCGAUUUAUGUGCAAUUUUAUAACCUUGAAAUGGGGUUAGUACCACAGUUAUCUAGAUGAUUUGUUUUAAAAAAGGCUGUGUGUGCGCCCUGAAGUCAAAGGUGAUGUAUUCAAUGAGAGGUACAAAGAAAUUGUUGCCACCACUGUUUUGGGGGGAAGGAAUGGAGAGGAAAUUGGGCUUAAUGGAGGGAGUUCAGAGCAAAGCCUUCCUUGCUCUUCAGUGAAAUAACCCGUGGAUGCUCUAAAGCAUCUUUGCAGGGUUAGAAACCAGAGCAGGCAGCAGCUCGAUCUCCCCAUGACAAGAGCAAGACCAGUCCAAGUUCUCAGCAUGAACCAGGUGGAGCAGACACUUGAAAAUGCAUUUCCCCUGUAUUGGUGAAUGCGUCAGCUGCCAGGCUAACGUCUGCUCUCGCUUCACACCUGGAACUUGUCAAAACUCAUCUGUUCCUGGAAGAGCCUCUGGUUUUGGC
RNAcentral lists this long non-coding RNA (1090 nucleotides) under Phasianus colchicus (ring-necked pheasant). RNAcentral's name for it is "lncRNA (ENSPCLG00000010410.1)". The record is from RNAcentral. Lineage: Eukaryota; Metazoa; Chordata; Aves; Galliformes; Phasianidae.